AGUGAACGCUGGCGGUAAGCCUAACACAUGCAAGUCGAACGGCAGCACAGUAAGAGCUUGCUCUUACGGGUGGCGAGUGGCGGACGGGUGAGGAAUACAUCGGAAUCUACUUUUUUGUGGGGGAUAACGUAGGGAAACUUACGCUAAUACCGCAUACGACCUACGGGUGAAAGCAGGGGAUCUUCGGACCUUGCGCGAUUGAAUGAGCCGAUGUCGGAUUAGCUAGUUGGCGGGGUAAAGGCCCACCAAGGCGACGAUCCGUAGCUGGUCUGAGAGGAUGAUCAGCCACACUGGAACUGAGACACGGUCCAGACUCCUACGGGAGGCAGCAGUGGGGAAUAUUGGACAAUGGGCGCAAGCCUGAUCCAGCCAUACCGCGUGGGUGAAGAAGGCCUUCGGGUUGUAAAGCCCUUUUGUUGGGAAAGAAAAGCAGCAGGUUAAUACCCCGCUGUUCUGACGGUACCCAAAGAAUAAGCACCGGCUAACUUCGUG
This 492-nucleotide ribosomal RNA is filed under the name uncultured bacterium. RNAcentral's name for it is "partial 16S ribosomal RNA". It matches the Rfam family "Bacterial small subunit ribosomal RNA", at positions 29 to 507 of the family's 1533-position model. The record is from RNAcentral.